GGGUCCGCACAAGCGGUGGAGCAUGUGGUUUAAUUCGAUGAUACGCGAGGAACCUUACCAAGGCUUAAAUGUAAUAUGACCGGUUGAGAGAUCAACCUUUUUUCGAACAGAUUACAAGGUGCUGCAUGGUUGUCGUCAGCUCGUGCCGUGAGGUGUCGGGUUAAGUCCCAUAACGAGCGCAACCCCUAUUUUUAGUUACCAGCGAGUAAUGUCGGGAACUCUAGAAAAACUGCCUGUGCAAACAGAGAGGAAGGUGGGGAUGACGUCAAAUCAUCACGGCCCUUACGCCUAGGGCUGCACACGUACUACAAUGCCCAGUACAAUGUGAACCGAUACCGCAAGGUGGAGGAAAUCCUUAAAACUGGGCUCAGUUCGGAUUGUGGGCUGCAACUCGCCCACAUGAAGCUGGAAUCGCUAGUAAUGGCACAUC
Molecule: ribosomal RNA, 430 nt
Filed under: uncultured bacterium
Lineage: Bacteria
Description: bacterial SSU rRNA
Rfam family: Bacterial small subunit ribosomal RNA
Source: RNAcentral